GAUGAACGCUGGCGGCGUGCCUAAUACAUGCAAGUCGAGCGAACAGACGAGGAGCUUGCUCCUCUGACGUUAGCGGCGGACGGGUGAGUAACACGUGGAUAACCUACCUAUAAGACUGGGAUAACUUCGGGAAACCGGAGCUAAUACCGGAGAAUAUAUUAAACCGCAUGGUUCAAUAGUGAAAGACGGUUUUGCGGUCACUUAUAGAUGGAUCCGCUCCGCAUUAGCUAGUUGGUAAGGUAACGGCUUACCAAGGCGACGAUGAGUAGCCGACCUGAGAGGGUGAUCGGCCACACUGGAACUGAGACACGGUCCAGACUCCUACGGGAGGCAGCAGUAGGGAAUUUUCCGCAAUGGGCGAAAGCCUGACGGAGCAACGCCGCGUGAGUGAUGAAGGUCUUCGGAUCGUAAAACUCUGUUAUUAGGGAAGAACAAAUGUGUAAGUAACUAUGCACGUCUUGACGGUACCUGAUCAGAAAGCCACGGCUAACUACGUG
This 497-nucleotide ribosomal RNA is filed under the name uncultured bacterium. Its description in RNAcentral is "partial 16S ribosomal RNA". It matches the Rfam family "Bacterial small subunit ribosomal RNA", at positions 28 to 507 of the family's 1533-position model. The record is from RNAcentral.